RNAcentral lists this long non-coding RNA (306 nucleotides) under Rattus norvegicus (Norway rat). Its description in RNAcentral is "long non-coding RNA NONRATT007192". The record is from RNAcentral. Lineage: Eukaryota; Metazoa; Chordata; Mammalia; Rodentia; Muridae.
AGCCCAUUGCUGAAGCACCAUUCAAGUUUGACAUGGAGCUGGACGACUUACCUAAGGAGAAGCUCAAAGAACUCAUUUUUGAAGAGACUGCUCGAUUCCAGCCAGGAUACAGAUCUUAAAUUGGUCAGGACACCCCACCCGCAUUGGUAGGAACUACACAGCCCUCCUGAAGAUGAAUGGGAUUUAUUGGCAGCUUUGUUCAUCCUGCAGUUCCUGUCCUUUGCCAUCUGCUCUUGGGUAGAUUCAUAGUACAUCAGCACCUUUGACCUACUCUUGAAUAAAGCACAACCGCAGAUCAAUCCCCAA